Molecule: non-coding RNA, 279 nt
Organism: Pelobates cultripes (western spadefoot toad)
Lineage: Eukaryota; Metazoa; Chordata; Amphibia; Anura; Pelobatidae
Source: the annotation of a GenBank genome assembly
GUCAGCCACAGCUGGGGAGGUGUAACUAGGGCUGUAUAAACAGAAACAAAGCUAUUUAACUCCUAAAUGGCAGUGUAUUGAGCAGUGAGACUCUGAGCCAUGAUCUAUACAACAAAACUGCUUCAUUAACUUACAGUUGUUUUGGUGCUUAGAGUAAUCCUUUAAGGACUGCAGAUAGAAAGACAGCAGGCUGUACUAUUCUCUGUUAUCACAUUGUCAUCUUGGUUGCUCUGCCUUCUAGCAUUUGAAUAAGUCCCAAGGAUAAACACACACUAUGAU